RNAcentral lists this non-coding RNA (30 nucleotides) under Rattus norvegicus (Norway rat). Lineage: Eukaryota; Metazoa; Chordata; Mammalia; Rodentia; Muridae. The record is from RNAcentral.
UCAUUUGUGGAAUCAAUCUAGAGCAGCAGC